Molecule: ribosomal RNA, 253 nt
Filed under: uncultured bacterium
Lineage: Bacteria
Description: partial 16S ribosomal RNA
Rfam family: Bacterial small subunit ribosomal RNA
Source: RNAcentral
UGCGGAGGGGGCUAGCGUUGUUCGGAAUUACUGGGCGUAAAGCGUACGUAGGCGGCUUUGUAAGUUAGAGGUGAAAGCCCGGGGCUCAACCCCGGAAUUGCCUUUAAGACUGCAUCGCUUGAACGUCGGAGAGGUGAGUGGAAUUCCGAGUGUAGAGGUGAAAUUCGUAGAUAUUCGGAAGAACACCAGUGGCGAAGGCGGCUCACUGGACGACUGUUGACGCUGAGGCGCGAAAGCUAGGGGAGCAAACGGG